AGAGUUUGAUCAUGGCUCAGAUUGAACGCUGGCGGCAGGCCUAACACAUGCAAGUCGAGCGGUAACAGAAAGUAGCUUGCUACUUUGCUGACGAGCGGCGGACGGGUGAGUAAUGCUUUGGAACAUGCCUUGAGGUGGGGGACAACAGUUGGAAACGACUCCUAAUACCGCAUAAUGUCUUCGGACCAAAGGGGGNUUCGCCUCUCGCCUUUAGAUGGGCCCAAGUUUGAUUAGCUAGUUGGUGAGGUAAUGGCUCACCAAGGCAAGGAUCCAUAGCUGGUCUGAGAGGAUGAUCAGCCACACUGGGAGUGAGACACGGCCCAGACUCCUACGGGAGGCAGCAGUGGGGAAUAUUGCGCAAUGGGCGCAAGCCUGAUGCAGCCAUGCCGCGUGAUGAAGAAGGCNNUCNGGUUGUAAAGCA
Molecule: ribosomal RNA, 421 nt
Filed under: uncultured bacterium
Lineage: Bacteria
Description: bacterial SSU rRNA
Rfam family: Bacterial small subunit ribosomal RNA
Source: RNAcentral